RNAcentral lists this ribosomal RNA (836 nucleotides) under uncultured bacterium. RNAcentral's name for it is "bacterial SSU rRNA". It matches the Rfam family "Bacterial small subunit ribosomal RNA", at positions 636 to 1471 of the family's 1533-position model. The record is from RNAcentral.
UNUGACUUGAGUGCAGAAGGGGAGAGUGGAAUUCCAUGUGUAGCGGUGAAAUGCGUAGAUAUAUGGAGGAACACCAGUGGCGAAAGCGGCUCUCUGGUCUGUCACUGACGCUGAGGCUCGAAAGCGUGGGUAGCGAACAGGAUUAGAUACCCUGGUAGUNCACGCCGUAAACGAUGAGUGCUAGGUGUUAGGCCCUUUCCGGGGCUUAGUGCCGGAGCUAACGCAAUAAGCACUCCGCCUGGGGAGUACGACCGCAAGGUUGAAACUCAAAGGAAUUGACGGGGGCCCGCACAAGCGGUGGAGCAUGUGGUUUAAUUCGAAGCAACGCGAAGAACCUUACCAGGUCUUGACAUCCCGAUGCUAUUCUUAGAGAUAGGAAGUUACUUCGGUACAUCGGAGACAGGUGGUGCAUGGUUGUCGUCAGCUCGUGUCGUGAGAUGUUGGGUUAAGUCCCGCAACGAGCGCAACCCUUAUUGUUAGUUGCCAUCAUUAAGUUGGGCACUCUAGCGAGACUGCCGGUAAUAAACCGGAGGAAGGUGGGGAUGACGUCAAAUCAUCAUGCCCCUUAUGACCUGGGCUACACACGUGCUACAAUGGUCGGUACAAUGAGUUGCGAGCCGGUGACGGCAAGCUAAUCUCUGAAAGCCGAUCUCAGUUCGGAUUGGAGGCUGCAACUCGCCUCCAUGAAGUCGGAAUCGCUAGUAAUCGCGGAUCAGCACGCCGCGGUGAAUACGUUCCCGGGCCUUGUACACACCGCCCGUCACACCACGAGAGUUUGUAACACCCGAAGUCGGUGAGGUAACCUUUUAGGGGCCAGCCGCCUAAGGUGGGANGGA